RNAcentral lists this ribosomal RNA (774 nucleotides) under uncultured Neocallimastigales. RNAcentral describes it as "partial large subunit ribosomal RNA". It matches the Rfam family "Eukaryotic large subunit ribosomal RNA", at positions 24 to 634 of the family's 3401-position model. Lineage: Eukaryota; Fungi; Neocallimastigomycota; Neocallimastigomycetes; Neocallimastigales. The record is from RNAcentral.
UAUCUCUGUAGAGUCUGCAUAUCAAUAAGCGGAGGAAAAGAAACUAACAAGGAUUCCCUUAGUAACGGCGAGUGAAGCGGGAAGAGCUCAAAUUUGAAAUCUUCAAGGUUUUACCUUGACGAAUUGUAGUUUAAAGAAGUGUUUUCUGUUGGUGUUUUGGUAAAAGUUCUUUGGAGUAGGGCAUCAUAGAGGGUGAGAAUCCCGUAUUUGACCAUUACUUCCAGCGUUGUGAUACACUUUCAAAGUGUCGGAUUGUUUGGGAAUGCAGUCCAAAAUGGGUGGUAAAUUUCAUCUAAAGCUAAAUAUUGGCGAGAGACCGAUAGCGAACAAGUACCGUGAGGGAAAGAUGAAAAGAACUUUGAAAAGAGAGUUAAACAGUACGUGAAAUUGUCAAAAGGGAAGCGUUUGACACCAGUGUUGUUUUCUCGAAAAUCAAUUAAAAAAAGUUGGAUUUUGUAUUGUUAAGACCUUAUCAGCUUACUGUACUCUUUUCUUGCUUUUUUUAAUGCACUUUUCGUUUAACAAGUCAACAUCAAUUUCUUUUGUUGUAAAAGAGUCAUUGGAAGGUGGCUUUCACUUCGGUGAAAGUGUUUAUAGCCUUUGGCUUCUGCAAUCGGAGAGAUUGAGGUCUGCAGCGUAGAUCCUUCGGGGCUAGAUACGUAGAUGCUAAGUUAUAGUUUUUUAUAGACAACUUGUUGACUAUAAUUAAUCAUGUAGCUUACUCGUUUGCGCUAUUUUACCUACGCUUAGGAUGUUGAUCUGUAGUGCGUGCGC